Molecule: small RNA, 332 nt
Filed under: uncultured bacterium
Lineage: Bacteria
Description: bacterial SSU rRNA
Rfam family: Bacterial small subunit ribosomal RNA
Source: RNAcentral
GCUGGUCGNGUGCCUACGAGUGCAAGUCGAGCGAACUUGCGGGAGCUUGCUCCUGUAAGUUUUCCCCGGACGGGUGAGUAACACGUGGGCAACCUGCCUAUAAGACUGGGAUAACUUCGGGAAACCGGAGCUAAUACCGGAUGAUUCUUUUCUACGCAUGUAGAAAAGCUAAAAGACGGUUUACGCUGUCACUUAUAGAUGGGCCCGCGGCGCAUUAGCUAGUUGGUGAGGUAACGGCUCACCAAGGCCACGAUGCGUAGCCGACCUGAGAGGGUGAUCGGCCACACUGGGACUGAGACACGGCCCAGACUCCUACGGGAGGCAGCAGUGGG